RNAcentral lists this non-coding RNA (25 nucleotides) under Rattus norvegicus (Norway rat). The record is from RNAcentral. Lineage: Eukaryota; Metazoa; Chordata; Mammalia; Rodentia; Muridae.
CAGGCACAUAGAGAAUAAAGAGCCA